Long non-coding RNA from Oncorhynchus keta (chum salmon), 1968 nucleotides. RefSeq lists it as uncharacterized. The record is from RefSeq and is a predicted model, not a curated record. The transcript has 4 exons. Lineage: Eukaryota; Metazoa; Chordata; Actinopteri; Salmoniformes; Salmonidae.
UGGUUGUGGGUAUGGUGUGGGUAUGGUAGUGGGUAUGGUAGUGGGUAUGUUAGGGGGUAUGGUAGUGGGUAUGGUAGUGGGUAUGGUAGGGGGUAUGGUAGGGGGUAUGGUAGUGGGUAGUGGGUAUGGUAGUGGGUAUGGUAGUGGGUAUGGUAGGGGUAUGGUAGUGGGUAGUGGGUAUGGUAGUGGGUAUGGUAGGGGGUAUGGUAGGGGGUAUGGUAGUGGGUAUGGUAGUGGGUAUGGUAGGGGGUAUGGUAGUGGGUAUGGUAGUGGGUAUGGUAGGGGGUAUGGUAGGGGGUAUGGUAGUGGGUAUGGUAGUGGGUAUGGUAGUGGGUAAUGGUAGUGGGUAGUGGGUAUGUUAGUGGGUAUGGUAGUGGGUAUGGUAGUGGGUAUGGUAGUGGGUAUGGUAGUGGGUAUGGUAGGGGUAUGGUAGGGGGUAUGGUAGUGGGUAUGGUAGUGGGUAGUGGGUAUGGUAGUGGGUAUGGUAGUGGGUAUGGUAGUGGGUAUCGUAGGGGGUAGUGGGUAUGGUAGUGGGUAUGGAAGUGGGUAUGGUAGUGGGUAUCGUAGGGGGUAGUGGGUAUGGUAGUGGGUAUGGUAGGGGUAUGGUAGUGGGUAUGGUAGUGGGUAUGGUAGUGGGUAUGGUAGUGGGUAUGGUAGGGGGUAUGGUAGGGGGUAUGGUAGUGGGUAUGGUAGUGGGUAUGGUAGUGGGUAUGGUAGUGGGUAUGGUAGUAGGUGACGGGUGCACCGUUGUGUCAAGAACUGCAACGCUGCUGGGUUUUUCACGCUCAACAGUUUCCCGUGUGUAUCAAGAAUAUUUAACCACCCAAAGGACAUCCAGCCGACUUGAAACAACUGUGGAAAGAAUUGGAGUCAACAUGGGCCAGCAUCCCUGUGGAACGCUUUCAACACCUUGUAGAUUCUAUACCCUGACACAUUGAGGCUGUUCUGAGGGGGAAAGGGUGUAAGUCAAUAUUAGGAAGGUGUUCUUAAUGUUUUGUCCACUCAUUGUAUUUCAUUCAGUUUACGACGUUGACUCCUAUUUUCUCCCCAGUUCUCUGGUGAUUUAGUCAUCACAUUUCUCCUGUUAUUUUCCCAGACCUGUCAGGAAUAUGUUCGACCAGCUGAAGUGAGGGUAGAGGCUGGGCUGGGUAUAUCCUGUCAGGAACAGGUUAGACCAGCUGAAUUGAGGGUAGAGGCUGGAUAUAUCCUGUCAGGAAUAGGUUCGAACAGCUGAAUUGAGGGUAGAGGCUGGGCAGGGUAUAUCCUGUCAGGAAUAGGUUCGACCAGCUUAAGUGAGGGUAGAGGCUGGGCAGGGUAUAUCCUGUCAGUAAUAGGUUAGACCAGCUGAAUUGAGGGUAGCAGCUGGGCAGGGCUGGGUAUAUCCUGUCAGGAAUAGGUUAGACUAGCUGAAGUGAGGGUAGAGGCUGGGCAGGGCUGGGUAUAUCCUGUCAGGAAUAGGUUCGACCAGCUGAAGUGAGGGUAGCAGCUGGGCAGGGCUGGGUAUAUCCUGUCAGGAAUAGGUUAGACCAGCUGAAGUGAGGGUAGAGGCUGGGCAGGGCUGGGUAUAUCCUCAGGAAUAGGUUAGACCAGCUGAAUUGAGGGUAGCAGCUGGGCAGGGCUGGGUAUAUCCUGUCAGGAAUAGGUUAGACCAGCUGAAGUGAGGGUAGAGGCUGGGCAGGGCUGGGUAUAUCCUAUCAGGAACAGGUUCGACCAGCUGAAGUGAGGGUAGAGGCUGGGCAGGGCUGGGUAUAUCCUAUCAGGAAUAGGUUCGACCAGCUGAAGUGAGGGUAGAGGCUGGGCAGGGCUGGGUAUAUCCUGUCAGGAAUAGGUUAGACCAGCUGAAGUGAGGGUAGAGGCUGGGCAGGGCUGGGUAUAUGUUUGGGAUUGGGAAGCCUUAGGCUCAGGGGACAAGGGGUUUUGGGUAUUUAAAGCGGCUUCACUUUUGUAUAAAAUCUAUCCUUUACAAUU